This is a long non-coding RNA of Passer domesticus (house sparrow), 415 nucleotides long. RefSeq lists it as uncharacterized. The record is from RefSeq and is a predicted model, not a curated record. NCBI's taxonomy places the organism in Eukaryota, Metazoa, Chordata, Aves, Passeriformes, Passeridae. The transcript is spliced from 4 exons.
UUACUGUGAUCACUCAGUCCAGAGAUGUAUAUGUGACAUGGGUUAGUCCACCACUCCUAUGAGUCCCAGCAGACAUCUCCAAAAGAAAUCACCAGUCUGAAGUCCAGAAACAAGGAUCACAAAGUUAAUCAGGGGAGAUGCUCUGCUUAACAGAGUGAAUGAACUUUUAGCCUUCAGCCUUCCCAUUUGCUUUUCUGGGGAUAAAUUCAGACAAAGAAAGGCAGAUCCCUGACUUUUGUUCUCUUCAAAACAAGAAUUGAGAUACAUGUGUUGGAAGAAUAUUACUGAAGUCACCCAAAGUAAAAUGAAUGGAUAUGUUCCCAUUCCUGUGGAAAAUUUUGGAGGUACCUCACAUAAUUUAUAAUUGAUUUUCCACUAAACUGUUGAAGAAUCAUUUUUGCUUCUGUUGCUAAAG